AUUGAACGCUGGCGGCAUGCCUUACACAUGCAAGUCGAACGGUAACGCGGGGCAACCUGGCGACGAGUGGCGAACGGGUGAGUAACACGUAGGUGAUCUACCCUCAAGAUUGGGACAACCCAGGGAAACUUGGGCUAAUACCGGAUGAAAGCAGCAGUGAUGUUGUUUGAAAGGUGGCGUAAGCUGCCGUUUGGGGAUGAGCCUGCGCUCUAUUAGUUAGUUGGCGGGGUAAAGGCCCACCAAGGCGAUGAUAGAUAGGCGGCCUUAACGGGUGGUCGCCCACACUGGGAUUGAGAUACGGCCCAGACUCCUACGGGAGGCAGCAGUCGAGAAUAGUCUACAAUGGCCGAAAGGCUGAUAGUGCGACGCCGCGUGAACGAAGAAGCCCUUCGGGUGUAAAGUUCUUUUAUAUGUGAGCAGUGCUUUCUAUGUGAACAGCAUGGGGAGAGAGGUAUUAGCAUAUGAAUAAGCAACGGCUAACUCCGUGCCAGC
RNAcentral lists this ribosomal RNA (492 nucleotides) under uncultured bacterium. RNAcentral describes it as "bacterial SSU rRNA". It matches the Rfam family "Bacterial small subunit ribosomal RNA", at positions 30 to 512 of the family's 1533-position model. The record is from RNAcentral.